RNAcentral lists this ribosomal RNA (253 nucleotides) under uncultured bacterium. RNAcentral's name for it is "partial 16S ribosomal RNA". It matches the Rfam family "Bacterial small subunit ribosomal RNA", at positions 524 to 776 of the family's 1533-position model. The record is from RNAcentral.
UACAGAGGGGGCAAGCGUUAAUCGGAAUUACUGGGCGUAAAGCGUGCGCAGGCGGUUAUGCAAGACAGAGGUGAAAUCCCCGGGCUCAACCUGGGAACUGCCUUUGUGACUGCAUAGCUAGAGUACGGUAGAGGGGGAUGGAAUUCCGCGUGUAGCAGUGAAAUGCGUAGAUAUGCGGAGGAACACCGAUGGCGAAGGCAAUCCCCUGGACCUGUACUGACGCUCAUGCACGAAAGCGUGGGGAGCAAACAGG